RNAcentral lists this ribosomal RNA (253 nucleotides) under uncultured bacterium. RNAcentral's name for it is "partial 16S ribosomal RNA". It matches the Rfam family "Bacterial small subunit ribosomal RNA", at positions 524 to 776 of the family's 1533-position model. The record is from RNAcentral.
UACGGGGGGGGCAAGCGUUGUUCGGAAUUACUGGGCGUAAAGGGCGCGUAGGCGGUUGGAUAAGUCAGCUGUGAAAACCACGGGCUUAACUCGUGGCCUGCAGUUGAGACUGUCCGGCUUGAGUGUGGGAGAGGAGAGUGGAAUUCCUGGUGUAGCGGUGAAAUGCGUAGAUAUCAGGAGGAACACCGGUGGCGAAGGCGGCUCUCUGGACCACAACUGACGCGGAGGCGCGAAAGCUAGGGGAGCAAACAGG